GAAUAUUGGACAAUGUGCGCAAGCCUGAUCCAGCCAUGCCGCGUGUGUGAAUAAGGCCUUUUGGUUGUCAAGCACCUUAAGCGAGGAGGAGGCUCCUUGGAUUAAUACUCUAGGAUAGCUGACGUUACUCGCCGAAUACGCACCGGCUAACCCUGCGCCCGCAGCCGCGGUAAUACAGAGGGUGCUAGCGUUAAUCGGAUUUACUGGGCGUAAAGGGUGCGUAGGCGGCUUUUUAAGUCGGAUGUGAAAUCCCUGAGCUUAACUUAGGAAUUGCAUUCGAUACUGGGAAGCUAGAGUAUGGGAGAGGAUGGUAGAAUUCCAGGUGUAGCGGUGAAAUGCGUAGAGAUCUGGAGGAAUACCGAUGGCGAAGGCAGCCAUCUGGCCUAAUACUGACGCUGAGGUACGAAAGCAUGGGGAGCAAAC
Molecule: ribosomal RNA, 423 nt
Filed under: uncultured bacterium
Lineage: Bacteria
Description: partial 16S ribosomal RNA
Rfam family: Bacterial small subunit ribosomal RNA
Source: RNAcentral